Molecule: ribosomal RNA, 257 nt
Filed under: uncultured prokaryote
Description: partial 16S ribosomal RNA
Rfam family: Bacterial small subunit ribosomal RNA
Source: RNAcentral
UACGGAGGAUCCAAGCGUUAUCCGGAUUUAUUGGGUUUAAAGGGUGCGCAGGCGGAAGAUUAAGUCGGCGGUGAAAUUUUGCAGCUUAACUGUAACAGUGCCGUUGAUACUGGGGAGCUAGGAUUUGGUUGCUGUGGGUGGAAUGUGUGGUGUAGCGGUGAAAUGCUUAGAGAUCACACAGAAUAUCGAUUGCGAAGGCAGCUCACAAAGCCAAGAUUGACGCUGAGGCACGAAAGUGUGGGGAUCAAACAGGAUUA